AGUGAACGCUGGCGGUAGGCCUAACACAUGCAAGUCGAACGGCAGCACAGUAAGAGCUUGCUCUUACGGGUGGCGAGUGGCGGACGGGUGAGGAAUACAUCGGCAUCUACUUUUUCGUGGGGGACAACGUAGGGAAACUUACGCUACUACCGCAUACGACCUACGGGUGAAAGCAGGGGAGAUUCGGACCUUGCGCGAUUCAAUGAGCCGAUGUCGGAUUAGAUAGUUGGCGGGGUAAAGGCCCACCAAGGCGACGAUCCGUAGCUGGUCUGAGAGGAUGAUCAGCCACACUGGAACUGAGACACGGUCCAGACUCCUACGGGAGGCAGCAGUGGGGAAUAUUGGACAAUGGGCGCAAGCCUGAUCCAGCCAUACCGCGUGGGUGAAGAAGGCCUUCGGGUUGUAAAGCCCUUUUGUUGGGAAAGAAAAGCAGCAGGUUAACACCCCGCUGUUCUGACGGUACCCAAAGAAUAAGCACCGGCUAACUUCGUG
RNAcentral lists this ribosomal RNA (492 nucleotides) under uncultured bacterium. Its description in RNAcentral is "partial 16S ribosomal RNA". It matches the Rfam family "Bacterial small subunit ribosomal RNA", at positions 29 to 507 of the family's 1533-position model. The record is from RNAcentral.